GCUUAACCGGAGAAGUGCAUCGGAAACUGGGUAACUUGAGUGCAGAAGAGGACAGUGGAACUCCAUGUGUAGCGGUGGAAUGCGUAGAUAUAUGGAAGAACACCAGUGGCGAAGGCGGCUGUCUAGUCUGUAACUGACGCUGAGGCUCGAAAGCAUGGGUAGCGAACAGGAUUAGAUACCCUGGUAGUCCAUGCCGUAAACGAUGAGUGCUAGGUGUUGGAGGGUUUCCGCCCUUCAGUGCCGCAGCUAACGCAUUAAGCACUCCGCCUGGGGAGUACGACCGCAAGGUUGAAACUCAAAGGAAUUGACGGGGGCCCGCACAAGCGGUGGAGCAUGUGGUUUAAUUCGAAGCUACGCGAAGAACCUUACCAGGUCUUGACAUCUUCUGUCAAUCUUAGAGAUAAGACGUUCCCUUCGGGGACAGAAUGACAGGUGGUGCAUGGUUGUCGUCAGCUCGUGUCGUGAGAUGUUGGGUUAAGUCCCGCAACGAGCGCAACCCUUAUUAUCAGUUGCCAGCAUUCAGUUGGGCGCUCUGGUGAGACUGCCGGUGACAAACCGGAGGAAGGUGGGGAUGACGUCAAAUCAUCAUGCCCCUUAUGACCUGGGCUACACACGUGCUACAAUGGACGGUACAACG
This 637-nucleotide ribosomal RNA is filed under the name uncultured bacterium. Its description in RNAcentral is "bacterial SSU rRNA". It matches the Rfam family "Bacterial small subunit ribosomal RNA", at positions 607 to 1244 of the family's 1533-position model. The record is from RNAcentral.